UUGAAGGUAGAGCUCAAACUCCUGUUUCCCGUAAAUCCCCGAUACCUUCUGCCUUUCUUAGCAUUAACCAGCCCCGUUUGCCAUCUGAAGACUAUUAUUUCACUGGGACCUGGACCUCUGGACCUCUGGGCAUGGGAUGACUAUAGAUUUCACAUUUGAAUGCAUGCAAGCAUGUAAAUAGUUGACUAUUACCAUUAAGAAACAACUGUUUUGGGGUGGCUAGCCCUUCAAAAAGGAGAUACACAUCUUCUAGAAGCCACAAAUGAUUAUGGAGAGUGCUUAGACUUGAGUUUGACCCACCUAUCUUCUUCACCAGCUGUGUGACCCUGAAGAGAGCUGACACCAGGGCCCUGCUGUGAGUGGUGUUCACAGCCCCUGUAGCCCGGGAAUCAAAGAGCUCUUUGACUUGAGGCGAAAGAAACUAGCAUUUACUCCAUCAAUAGUUGUGCAUGGAACUUAAUGGCAUCAUCCCAUUUAAUCUUCACACCUGGCCUGGGAAUUCUCAGGCCACAGAACUGGACCCCCACGGCUGUUCCUCUGCCUUGGUACCCAGUCUGCUCAAAGCCUGGCUGGGAGCAAGGGAUGUCACCUUGAAGCCCAGGAGCACGACCCCCAAGGUGCGUGCUGGAGCAUCCCCGACUCUCCCAUUCGUUCUGCUCUUGGCUCUCUUCAGUCCAGGACCAUGUCUGCAGGAUUGCCUGCUCCAGCCAGAAAUAAAGUUUCCUGAUUGGAUUCUUUGGUUUGCAGCCAGAGGGCCUCCCUAGCAGCCCAAACAUCUGUCCGUGGCCUUCACAGUGAGCCUGAGUUGUGGGGUGACCUAGAGCAGCUGGAUCGAGAAGCAACGGCUGGAUGCUUGCUGGCUUGGGAGACUUACCUGCAGCUUUGUUCCCAAAGAGGAAUGGCAGGGCAUUCCCGAAGGGGGGGAAAUAGCAUCUGCUUCCAGCUCCUGCUUCCACAAAGCUGCUACCAGGUCCUUGGCAUUGCGAGACACGCCUGGGGCUCUGGAAUAGGAGCUGCUAUUCCCUCCUGGUAUUUAAAAUCCACACACACAAACAAACAACAAGGCCCUAGCAUUUCUCUGACACCUUUUGCUCCUUUUAAGUAGAGCCCUUUAUAAUGGCACCUCCUGGUCCCUCUGUCCCCCCAGGGGCCCGCUUUGGCACCUCCAGCCUGGCUAUCCCCCUGGGGGGAGAGGUGGACAGGGAAGCACCAGAGUAGGAUGGACUGAAGGGGCCUUGAGAACCAGAGACCCAGGGAAGUGACUGGGGCAACUUAUUUGGUUUCCUAAACUUAUUCAACACCGCCCCCCACCCUGGGAUUUUUUACUAGAUCCUUCCCAAACAAGAAAACUGCGAGAUCAAAGGCCGGGGAGGCAUUUGUACUUCCUUAAAUCAGCUAUCAACAGAGCAAGAACUCUGUCCCUCCCCCUUUCCUGGAAUGUUUCAUUUUCAGUGUUAAUCACAGAUAUUUCCUGUGUUCAGAACUGUCCCAGACAAUCAGUCGUUCCUCCCGUAGGAUCAUCAUGCUCUAGUUUUACACUCAGGUUCUCUGUGUGAAAUGAGGGCAGCGCCGCUGAGAGGCCCAGGUGAAGCCCUUUACUAGCCACAGACCCCAGGCCAUUUGCUUUACCUCAGUGAGCCUCAUUUUCUCAUCUGUAAAACGGGGAUGAUGGCAGCUACCUCACAGCCCUCCUGGAAGUAUUAGGAAGAGGCAGGCCCAGGGUAGGCGGUCUGUUUGUGGCAAGUCUUCACUGAAGUGAACAUUUCAGAAAGAACAGAAUGCUUGGGGACUGAUCAGUAUUUCAGAAUGAUGUCUUUUGCACUAGCUUUUCCAGAGCUUUCCAAAACGAGGCCCACCAUUUCCUUCUCACCACUCCUGGUCCCUCCUUCACUCUACUCCUCAGUUCCUGUAAGAAUGCUCUGCCCUCACUCCCUUCCCACCCCUGCAGCCUCCGUUCUCACAUCCUGUAACCCCUCAACCCCUCCAUCUGUGCUUCCAAUUCCCAGAGUUCCUGCACCUGUGCCACUGUCCUUUCUCCUCAAUCAGGAAUGCCAUUUAUAUCUUACCACUAGAUCUAAGAUCAGAGAUCCUGCCUCUCUCCCAGAUACCAAGUGCAGGCCAGGAAACAUGCCAUGAACUCCUGAAUUCUUCUUCAGUGCAUAAAUUCAUCUUUAUUGCCUACCCUUAAAGAAUGAGUCAAGCAAAAAAUAAAGGUAUUUUCUCCAUUCAACCCCUUAGCUUGCCAUUUGAUCCUUUACAAUCUG
This is a long non-coding RNA of Canis lupus familiaris (dog), 2264 nucleotides long. RefSeq lists it as uncharacterized. The record is from RefSeq and is a predicted model, not a curated record. The transcript is spliced from 3 exons. Lineage: Eukaryota; Metazoa; Chordata; Mammalia; Carnivora; Canidae.